CUCCAUUCUGGUAAAUGACAAUGUUGCGUUCACUCUCCUACGUAAACUUUCUGACCCCACGGGCAGGUACUUGAUUCUGGUCUGUAUGGUGAAUGAAGUCACAUACACCAUAACAAACGCCUAUUUCCCAAACUCCAACCAAGCCCAAUUCCUAGAAACACUAUGUAACAAGAUAGACAAGAUCAAACAGGGUGCCCUAGUGUUGUGCGGGGAUUUUAACUUUAUCACAGAACCAACCCUGGACUCAUCAGCUAAGCUUACAAAUAAGAGAUUAAAAGCAUUACAGGGCUCUUGCAAAACUCUAAGAUCCCGUCUUCACUUCCAUAACCUACUUGAUGUAUGGCGCACUCUACAUGACCACGAGAAAGACUAUACAUUCCACUCAGCGGUACACAACUCUUACACAAGACUUGAUCGCUUCUACACCUCACCCACAGCCCUGACCCAAAUAGAGAAAUGUGUGAUAGGACAAAUAACAUGGUCCGAUCAUGCACCAGUCUUUCUAUAUAUUAAAGACACCCACACACAUACUGGGAAGGGGUUCUGGAGGCUCAACGAAUCCCUACUCCAUGAUCUAGACUUUAUUAAACACGUACGGACAGAACUGUCAGACUAUUUCACUAGGAACGAUAACGGGGAGACGUCCCUGGAAACGUUGUGGCUGGCCCACAAGGCGGUGAUUAGGGGUAUUUUUAUAAAGAGAGCAACUUAUCUAAAACGGAAAAGGGAAUCCCAGAUGACAACAUGGCUCCAACAACUAGAGAUACUGACGAGACAACACAAGCGUGGAAUAUCAGGUGACCUGGCAGUCCAAAUCAAGACACUAAAAUCCCAGAUAGACGAAGCCAACCUACUGAAAACAAACUACCAGAUACAGAAACUAAAGGCCAGGUUCUAUCACCAGGGAAAUAGGGCGGGCAAAGUGCUAGCCAACCUACUUAAACAUAGA
Molecule: non-coding RNA, 949 nt
Organism: Pelobates cultripes (western spadefoot toad)
Lineage: Eukaryota; Metazoa; Chordata; Amphibia; Anura; Pelobatidae
Source: the annotation of a GenBank genome assembly